GAAAACAGCACGUACUUCUGCUGAACCAAUUGGCACUUGUUCCUCAACUGAUUCCAGAAGUCCCUCCAUUGCUUUUCGUACAUCAUCAAUAAGAUCAUAGAUAACUUUGUAUAGUCGGAUUUCAACACCUUUAUUGUCAGCAUAGCUCUUCACAGCACCCGGAGUUCUAACAUUAAAGCCAAAAAUAAUAGCUUUACUUGCUACAGCAAGAUCAACAUCACUGGCGCUCACAUCACCAGUAGCUUGCAGUAGGAACUUCAAAGUGACAUUAUCCUGUGGAAGAACCUGAAGAGCUUGUCUGACGGCCUCAAUGGAUCCCUGAAGAUCAACUUUCAGAAUAAUAUUUAGUUGGUGCAAGUCUAGACCAGUUCCUCCUGAAACAGCAGAAGCAAAAGAAGAGAGUGUAAUUUUCCCAUCUCCGGCCUUUUCCGAUAAACGUUCACUCCGCAAGGACUCCGCUCGUUCUUCAGCCUUUUCACGAGCAAUAUCAAGGGACUCAACAACCUCAAACUCGUCACCAGCAAAUGGAACAUUGUUCAGUCCAAUCACCUGCACAGGCAUGGAGGGUCCUGCUUCAUCAACACGUUUUCCCUUAUCAUCAAACAGAGCCCGCACCUUUCCAUAAGCUCCACCACAAACUACUACAUCUCCUCCUUUCAGUGUACCAUUCUGCACAAUGAACGUUGCUACAGGUCCUUUAGAUUUAUCGAGACCUGCCUCAAUCACAGUCCCCUUGGCAUUUCUUUGAGGAUUAGCCUUCAACUCUUGCAACUCGGCAACAAGCAUGACCAUUUCCAGCAAAUCAUCUAUAUUCUCUCCUUUAAGAGCACUGAUCUUAACCAUUGGAACGUCGCCGCCCCAAUCUUCCGGCAUCAAACCAAUGGUGGAAAGUUCUUGCAUGACUCGGUCGGGAUUUGCUCCAUCCUUAUCAACCUUAUUUAUGGCAAUCACAAUUGGAACUCCGGCAGCCUUGGCAUGUGCUAUAGCCUCAUUUGUCUGAGGCCGAAUUCCGUCAUCAGCGGCUACUACAAUGAUAGCAAUGUCUGUUACUCUAGCUCCACG
RNAcentral lists this unclassified non-coding RNA (1062 nucleotides) under Hevea brasiliensis (rubber tree). Lineage: Eukaryota; Viridiplantae; Streptophyta; Magnoliopsida; Malpighiales; Euphorbiaceae. The record is from RNAcentral.